RNAcentral lists this ribosomal RNA (250 nucleotides) under uncultured bacterium. RNAcentral's name for it is "partial 16S ribosomal RNA". It matches the Rfam family "Bacterial small subunit ribosomal RNA", at positions 355 to 602 of the family's 1533-position model. The record is from RNAcentral.
GGAUGAAUAUUGGACAAUGGGUGAAAGCCUGAUCCAGCCAUCCCGCGUGAAGGACGACGGCCCUAUGGGUUGUAAACUUCUUUUGUAUAGGGAUAAACCUACCCUCGUGAGGGUAGCUGAAGGUACUAUACGAAUAAGCACCGGCUAACUCCGUGCCAGCAGCCGCGGUAAUACGGAGGGUGCAAGCGUUAUCCGGAUUUAUUGGGUUUAAAGGGUCCGUAGGCGGGCUUAUAAGUCAGUGGUGAAAUCU